AACGAACUUCCGUUAAUUGAUUAUGACGUACUUGUACUGAUUGAGAUUUUAACACGAAGUGAGUGGCGAACGGGUGAGUAACACGUGGGUAACCUGCCCAGAAGUAGGGGAUAACACCUGGAAACAGAUGCUAAUACCGUAUAACAGAGAAAACCGCAUGGUUUUCUUUUAAAAGAUGGCUCUGCUAUCACUUCUGGAUGGACCCGCGGCGUAUUAGCUAGUUGGUGAGGUAAAGGCUCACCAAGGCAGUGAUACGUAGCCGACCUGAGAGGGUAAUCGGCCACAUUGGGACUGAGACACGGCCCAGACUCCUACGGGAGGCAGCAGUAGGGAAUCUUCCACAAUGGACGCAAGUCUGAUGGAGCAACGCCGCGUGAGUGAAGAAGGGUUUCGGCUCGUAAAGCUCUGUUGUUAAAGAAGAACGUGGGUAAGAGUAACUGUUUACCCAGUGACGG
Molecule: ribosomal RNA, 455 nt
Filed under: Pediococcus pentosaceus
Lineage: Bacteria; Bacillati; Bacillota; Bacilli; Lactobacillales; Lactobacillaceae
Description: bacterial SSU rRNA
Rfam family: Bacterial small subunit ribosomal RNA
Source: RNAcentral